AUUUCUCUUAGAUGGAGAAAAGGGAUUUGAGGCAAGCUUACAAGAACCACAAAUCCUCCUUUAGCUGAGGGUUUGGGAUUAGACAGGUAGCUGAAAUAUUGUUUCACAAAGAAAAGAGAAAUACAGUUUGGUAAAGCAGUCAGAUGUGAGUAGAGAAACAAGAAUAAUUCACAGCUAUCAUCAAAGCUUCCUUUGCAGAUGUGAAAGACAACGGCAGUGCCAUUGAUAAGCAAUAGCAAGAGAAGGCUUUGGACCAAACUGAAUUAGCAACAAUGGCAGGACAUUUUAGAGGAGACAUCCUGGAGGACCCUGGAACUAUAGGAUCAAAGCUAAGUAAGAUUUGGGAUUGAAAAUAGGAACAUUAAGUUAGAGGGGAUAAUGGGAAGCCACAAAAUGGAAAGCCUCAGGAAAAUUGACGUGUGAUAUUCAAAAUUAAGAGGUGAUAGAAAGAGAAAGAGCUGAUGGUUAGGGAGAAAGAGCAAGCAGGGAGCUAGGAGAAGAGCCCAGAAGUUAAUAUAAUGGGAGCCCAGGAAGAAGUGUCAUUCAGUAAGUGAUUGAUCAACAGUAUCAAAUGUCCCAAAGAUACGACAGAGGAAAUAGAUAAGGGGGAGCUUACUGGAUUUGUAUUAACCUGUGUAAAAAAUAUUUGCUUUUGUUCACAGACUCUAGAAUUCAAACAUCAUGAUCAUAAGCAAAUAAUCCUGUUGUGAUAAAUGCAGGGACUACAGAAAUAUUUAUAAGAUACUCCUAGGAGUUCCCUGGUGGCUCAGUGGGUUAAGGAUCUGACUUUGUCACUGCUGUGGCAAGGGUUCCAUCCCUGGCCAAGGAACUUCUGCAUGCUGUGGUUGUGGCCAACAAACAAACAAAACUAAAUCAAAAAGAUACUCCUAAAGACUUUACAAUCUGAAAGAUAAGAUUUGACCAGUCCAGACAUAUACACAGAUUGAACAAGUCUAACAAUAUUUGCACAGCACAAGACAUUUCCAAGUUCUGGCUUAUAAAUAUUCCAAAAAAAUAUUUGAUAAAGAGAAAUUUGAAUUUAAUUGAAAAAUUUGGAUUGUUCCUUAGAGUUCAACAUAAUAAAAUGUCCCCCUGGAGAUGAGACAAGGAGAACUCAAACCUAGUAUCUAAGAUGUAUAUUCUAGAAAGGAACUAGUGUUUAACCCCAUCUCCCCCCAGAAAUCUAACACUUAUGAACCUAGUUAAAAAUAAAUAAAUAAAUUGGCAAGUUGUAUAUCUGCCGCUGGUGCUUUGCGUAAAUGAUCAAUAUUCUGAUGGCUGGACCUUCUUACUCUUCAGUGUCCUUCAGCCUUUUGCUGAGAAUUUCUCAGGCCACCUGCCUCUGGGGAUUUCUUGGUUUCUCUGACUUCCCCUCUUCUUCCUUCUUUUUGCUCUUUUACAUUCCUCAAUUCCUGUUCCUUUCGUUGUUUCUUGCACACAGAAUUCCAGCUACUUCUCUGUUUUACGAGUCUUCACCUGUGGGACAGGGAAUCUAUGCCACCGUUAACCAGACAGAAAUGCUAUUGUUCAUUUGCAAGUAAGGCAAGCAGUUCCAUAGAAUUUGUGGAAGGGAGAAACUGAACACGAAGCACAAAUUCCUUCUCCAUGUCCUAUCUGCGUAUUUCUGCGGAGGCUCUGUCGGCAGAUUAGCUCAUUGAGAAUGUGUGGUGGUGGCCUUGACAAGGAGUCUAGGAGGCUCCAUUUCUAGAGAGUGCAAUUGACCAAGGCCUCCGAAAUCAACAGCCCCAUUCACACUGGGGCUACUCCAGGGUGAGCUUCUCCCAGCCAGCGACUGGGUGCAACAGGGAUACCCAGGCACAUUGCACCCUAGGGGACACCAGACUCCUCUGAUGGAGAAGGAUUUCCCGAGGUCUUGCUGAACCUUCCUUAGACUGCAUCAUAGUCUAGGAUGCUUCUGCCCACCCUAUCUUCCUCCUCUUCUUCCCUUGGGGUCAGGUUUGCAUCACUGUCUCGCAGCUCUUCCAGCUCUCCCUCACCAUUUUCCACAACAGAGCUUUCCCCUAAUAAAAUCCUUCAACAUGUAAUCCUGUUUUGGUAUCUGUUUCCCAGAGGGCUUGGACUAACACAUGCGCCUAGUAGACGAGCAAGUCUUACUGUGUGGCUCCGAACCUGGGAGUCUCACGGACAUUUGGUUCUGCUCACAUAACCCGCAUCAAAAUAGUUGAAUGAAAGUGAUCUUAGGGGUUAGUGGUAGCUAAAUAAGCAUAUCUGGUGAAGCGUCAAUACAAGUUUUCCUGCAACGUGAUUAGAAAGUCCAAGUCUGAAAGACCUUUGCUGGGAUUGUACCCUCCACUACCCUCCCUUCCCAUUGUACUUCUCUCUUUUACUCACAUUUCACACAAGAGAUAGGAUGGAGUGAACAGACAUUGGCUGGGUAAGGUCUGAUUCUCAGGUCUCUGAGAGAUUUUUUUUCAACAUUGCCUGCAUAUUUGCAGGAAAAGGUUGACUCAGUAUUACUAGGAAAUUGUCCUGACUCAAGAGAACAGAAAGUGGAAAUAUUUGGUUUUCUACAAAUGAUCUAUAAAACUGAGAUAAAAUUUUUCACUUAUCAGAUUGGCAAACAUUUAAAAGAUUGAUCUCAUCUAGUGUUGUGGAGAGGAUAAGGAACUAAGCCACUUCUUUAUACCGGUUAAGAGAAUAAACAGGUGAAAACCUUUAGUAAGGUUAAUUUAUCAGGAUCUAUCAAAAUUAAUGAUGGACACAACCUAUGGUCCAGUAACCCCAUUUUGGAAUAUUUUUCUACAGAAAUAUUUGUACGGGAAUACAAAGCUCUAUAGACAAGGAUGUUCACUGCCGUUUAUUAUAUUAUUAUUGUUAUUGCAAUAACACAGGAAGCAGUCUAAAUGGCCAGCAAGAUGAGACAGUUUAGGGAAUUAUACUAUAUCCAUACUAUGGAAUACUAUGCAGUUGUUAGCAGGGUGCCACUAGCCCAGAGGGCACCUUUUUGUAAAUUAGAAAAAGAUACCCUCUCCUCUGGGUAAACAAAGCCAAAUGCCAGGAAACAUAGUUUGGUGAAUGGAGCAUGAGCUAGAUUUUAACUCCAGUUAUCACCCCCUCCCAUCCCCGCCAGGUACUUACUUCAUCCCAAUGAAAAAUCUGGACAAUACUUAACAACACUGGCUGUUAAAAAUAAUAACACAGUAUUUUAUAUAAUGACAUGGAAAGCUCUCCAUGACAGUGUCAACUCCUCUCCCACAAGAAAAGAAAAAAAAAUUAAAAGAAAAUUGGCAAAUGCUAUUAUUUAUUUCUGCAUAGUAAAUUUCCUCAAAACAGAGUGUAUUAAGCAACAAACAUUUAUUAUCGUACAGCUUCUGUGGGUUAGGAUUCCUGGUGCAGCUUACCCCGGGUUGGUCCUCUGGCUCUGGGCCUCUCUAAAGGCUGCUGUCAAGAUGUUGGCGGGGGCUGCAGUUAUCUCAAGGCUUGACCGAGGGAGGGUCAGCUUCCAAGUUCAUGCCUGGGCUUGUUGGCAGGAUUUACUUCCCUGUCUGCUGUUGCACGGAGGGCCUCAGACCCUCUGUGGCUGUUGGCGGGGGACCACUGUUAGGUUCUGGCCAGGUGGGCCUCUCCAUAAGGCAACUUAAAACAUGGUGGGCGGCUUUCCUUCAAGUGAGCAUGGGAGCCGAGCCAGAGAGGUGCCAGCAAGAUGGAGGUCACAGUCCUUGAGAGCUGAACUUCAGCAGUGAUGACCACCCCUUUGCAGGAUUCUCCUCUUCCGAAACAAGUCACUAGCUUCAGCCCACACACAACCGGGAGGCCAUCACACCAGGGCUUGCAUAUCAGGAGGCUGCGUGCAUUCGGAACCGUUUUAGGAUCUGCUUACCUCAGAAUAUGCACUGAACUCUACAUAUGUAAAUGUCUCCAAGGCAGAGAAGUGGAGACAGUUCUGCUUUUUUAACUAUGAUUCCAAACUUCAAGAGAAGUUGCAAGAGUAGUCCGAGGACCUCCCAGAGGUAAAUACACACGUUUUACCCAAAUGAUCCAAUGGUUUCCAUUUGGCCUCCUUGCUUUAUCAUUUCUUCUGUGUAUCUGGGAGCCUAUUAUCUUUCUUUCUGGAAGAUUGAGCGUUAAGUUGGCAAUACAGCGUCCUUUUAUGUCUUAAUAGCUCCGUGUUAUUUUCUAACAAGGACGUUUCUUAUAUAACCAUAGUCAAAUAUUGCAAUGAACAGACAACUAAACAUUUUUGUUCAUCUUUUAUUGGGGUAUAGUUGAUUUACAAUGUUGUAUUAGCUGUGGGUUUAUAGCAAAGUGAAUCAGUUAUAUAUCUGUAUGUCUAUUCUUUUGUUCCCACAUAGAUUAUUACAGAACUCGGGAGACCUCCCUGGGCUGGACUGUGGGUCCCUGUCAUUAUCUCCCCUUUACAUAGUAAUGAAGUGAACACUUCUUUUGACAUUGUAUCCCCCAGUCUCAAUUAUCUCUCCCUUUACUCACUGAAAAGUUGCCUGAGAAGUCCUAGCUUCAGAACAAGAAAAUUAAACAUUAAUACCGUACUAUUAUAGAUCCCUAUCCAAAUUUCAUCCCAUUUCUCAGGAAUUCCGUCAUAGCUCUCUUUUUCUUCUUGGUCCAGGAUCAUGCAUUUCAUUUUGUGAUCACGACUCUUUAAGUUUCAUUAAAUCUGGAACAGAUCCUCAGGCUUUCUAUGUCUUUCUUGACCUUGAUAGUUUUUGAAGAGUCCUGCUGAAUCAUUUUGGAAAAAAAAUCCCUUAAUUUGGAUUUGUUUGCUCAUAAUUAAAGUUCCAUACUUUCUGCAGGGAUACUGCAAAAGCACGGUUAGCAUUAAAAGCAUUGUGCUUUUGGAGUUCUUGUUGUGGCUCGGUGGAAACAAAUCCGACUAGGAUCCAUGAGGAUGCAGUUCGAUCCCUGGCUUCACUCAUUUGGGGCGUGGGGGGAUCCGGCGUUGCCAUGAACUGUGGUGUAGGUCACAGACAUGGCUCAGAGCCCAUGUUGCUGUGGCUGUAGUGUAGACCAUCAGUUGCAGCUCUGAUUCAACCCCUAGCCUGUGGGAACCUCCAUAUGCCGUGGGUGCAGUCCUAAAG
Molecule: long non-coding RNA, 5054 nt
Filed under: Sus scrofa (pig)
Lineage: Eukaryota; Metazoa; Chordata; Mammalia; Artiodactyla; Suidae
Description: lncRNA (ENSSSCG00000061889.1)
Source: RNAcentral